Molecule: ribosomal RNA, 301 nt
Filed under: uncultured bacterium
Lineage: Bacteria
Description: partial 16S ribosomal RNA
Rfam family: Bacterial small subunit ribosomal RNA
Source: RNAcentral
CAGUAGCCGCGGUAAUACGGAGGGUGCAAGCGUUAAUCGGAAUUACUGGGCGUAAAGCGCACGCAGGCGGUUUGUUAAGUCAGAUGUGAAAUCCCCGAGCUUAACUUGAGAACUGCAUUUGAAACUGGCAAGCUAGAGUCUUGUAGAGGGGGGUAGAAUUCCAGGUGUAGCGGUGAAAUGCGUAGAGAUCUGGAGGAAUACCGGUGGCGAAGGCGGCCCCCUGGGCCAAUACUGACGCUCAUGCACGAAAGCGUGGGGAGCAAACAGGAUUAGAGACCCCUGUAGUCCCUGUCUCUUAUAC